Molecule: small nuclear RNA, 97 nt
Filed under: Erinaceus europaeus (western European hedgehog)
Lineage: Eukaryota; Metazoa; Chordata; Mammalia; Eulipotyphla; Erinaceidae
Source: RNAcentral
AUGCUUGCUUCGGUAGCACAUAUACUAAAAUUGGAACGAUACAGAGAAGAUUAGCAUGGCCCCUGCGCAAGAAAAAAAAAAAAAAAAGAAUGCUUGU